RNA transcript from Callithrix jacchus (white-tufted-ear marmoset), 1491 nucleotides. It is a transcript of the gene named ADP/ATP translocase 3-like, with no coding region annotated. Lineage: Eukaryota; Metazoa; Chordata; Mammalia; Primates; Cebidae. The record is from RefSeq and is a predicted model, not a curated record.
AUGAAGCAGGAUGGCCUGAAUCCAACGUCGAUCGUUUGCUCUAUUUAUAAAUAUGUCCUUUCUUGUGAAUCCAAGGCUGGCUAUGACCCCCACUCUACACUGAAGAAAACAGGGUCUCACUUCAUCUCCCAGGCUGGAGUACAGUGGUGCAACCCCAGCUCACUGCAACCCCGAUCUCCCAGUCUCAGUGAUCCUGCCUCAGCCUCCCGAGUAGCUGAGCUUGCAGCGGCAGGACUGAACCAGGGACGCCUUCCCUUCGUUUUCAGUGCCCGCUCCAAUGCCGGCCCUGCCACCAUCACGGAACAGGCCGUCAUCUACUUUGCCAAAAGCGUCCUGGCAGGAGGCAUGGCCGCCGCCAUCUCCAAGACCGCCGUGGCCCGGAUCCAACGGGUCAAGCUGCUGCUGCAAGCAGCACAAAGGCAUCGUGGACCUCAUCGUCCGCACCCCAGGGAGUAGGGCGUGCUGUCCUUUUGGAGGGGCAACCUGGCCAACGUCAUCCGCUACUUUCCACGCAAGUCCUCCACUUGGCCUUCGAGGAUCAGUACAAGCAAAUCUUCCUGGCGUUAGGGGGGUGGGGCGGGGGCAAGCACACACCUUUAGUUCCAGAGGUACUUUGCAAGUAAUCUGGCUCCCUGUGGUUCGGUCGGCGCGACCUCCCUCUGCUUCAUGCACCCCCGGGAUUUCGCCAGAACCCUCCCGGCAGCCGACGUGGGGAAAUCCGGCACGGAGCGCAUGUUCCAAGGCCUGGGAGACUGCCUGGCGAAGGUCACCAAGCCCAACAGCGUCCGGGGCCGGUACCAGGGCUCCAUGCAGGGCAUCAUCAUCUACCCGGCCGCCUACUUCUGCGUGUACUACACGGCCAAGGGCAUCCUCCCUGAUCCCAAGAACACGCACAUCGUGGGGAGCUUGAUGAUCGCGCAGACGGUGGCGCCCGUGGUCGGUGUGGUCUCCUACCCCUUCCACCCGGUGCAGCCGCGGAGGAUGAUGCAGUCCCGGCGCAAGGGAGCUGACAUAGGUACACGGGCACCACCGACUGUUGAAGGAAGAUCUUCAGAGACAGGCGGGCAAGGCCUUCUUCAAAUGUCCUCAGGGGAAAGGGGGGCGCCUUCCUGCUGGUCCUGGACGACGAGCUGAAGAAGGUCAUUUAAGGGACUCAGUUGCCUCCUUUACACACACAUCAAGGGAACCAAGAGAACCACGUAGAAUCCUCAGCCAUGCGGACCAUUGACCUUCGAGAAAUUCCAGUCGUCUUUUUCCCAGCCGGAUCCUCCCUGUAGAUGGCCAGGGAAGGCUCUAGAAAAGGGGUGCCUUGUGAUCCAACCAUUGGCACCCAAUGCCAUGUCUUGAUCACUGGGGGAAGGGAACCAUGGUGUCCUGACAGGCCCACAGGUGAAACACUCCAAUACUCAGACCUAGAGUCCAGCCAUUUGUAGGACCCAAGUCGUGUUUAAGUAUUUAUUUAAAACAAAAGAAUUAUGUUUCCCAUUUGUA